Molecule: ribosomal RNA, 383 nt
Filed under: uncultured eukaryote
Lineage: Eukaryota
Description: partial 18S ribosomal RNA
Rfam family: Eukaryotic small subunit ribosomal RNA
Source: RNAcentral
CAAUAGCGUAUAUUAAAGUUGUUGCAGUUAAAAAGCUCGUAGUUGGAUUUCUGGUGGGAGCGAUCGGUCUGGCGCUUAGCGCGAGUACUUGCAUCGUCUCCGGCCAUCCUUGGGGAGAGUCUGUCUGGCAUUAGGUUGUCGGUCAGAGGAUCCUCAUCGUUUACUGUGAAAAAAUUAGAGUGUUCAAAGCAGGCUUAUGCCGUUGAAUAUAUUAGCAUGGAAUAAUAAGAUAGGACUUUGGUACUAUUUUGUUGGUUUGCGCACCAAAGUAAUGAUUAAUAGGGACAGUUGGGGGUAUUCGUAUUCCGUUGUCAGAGGUGAAAUUCUUGGAUUUACGGAAGACGAACUACUGCGAAAGCAUUUACCAAGGAUGUUUUCAUUAA